AGGCCAAUAGCUCAGUUGGUAGAGCACUGGUCUCCAAAACCAGGUGCCGGGGGUUCGAGUCCCUCUUGGCCUGCCA
RNAcentral lists this transfer RNA (76 nucleotides) under Sulfurovum lithotrophicum. RNAcentral describes it as "tRNA-Trp". It matches the Rfam family "tRNA". From Rfam's summary of the family: Transfer RNA (tRNA) molecules are approximately 80 nucleotides in length. Their secondary structure includes four short double-helical elements and three loops (D, anti-codon, and T loops). Further hydrogen bonds mediate the characteristic L-shaped molecular structure. tRNAs have two regions of fundamental functional importance: the anti-codon, which is responsible for specific mRNA codon recognition, and the 3' end, to which the tRNAs corresponding amino acid is attached (by aminoacyl-tRNA synthetases). tRNAs cope with the degeneracy of the genetic code in two manners: having more than one tRNA (with a specific anti-codon) for a particular amino acid; and 'wobble' base-pairing, i.e. permitting non-standard base-pairing at the 3rd anti-codon position. RNAcentral also lists the same sequence under 31 other names. Lineage: Bacteria; Pseudomonadati; Campylobacterota; Epsilonproteobacteria; Campylobacterales; Sulfurovaceae. The record is from RNAcentral.